AACGAACGCUGGCGGCAGGCCUAACACAUGCAAGUCGAGCGAGCAUUUCGGUGCUAGCGGCGGACGGGUGAGUAACGCGUGGGAACGUGCCCUUUUCUGCGGAAUAGUCCUGGGAAACUGGGGGUAAUACCGCAUACGCCCUUUUGGGGAAAGAUUUAUCGGAGAAGGUUCGGCCCGCGUUGGAUUAGGUAGUUGGUGGGGUAAUGGCCCACCAAGCCGACGAUCCAUAGCUGGUUUGAGAGGAUGAUCAGCCACACUGGGACUGAGACACGGCCCAGACUCCUACGGGAGGCAGCAGUGGGGAAUCUUAGACAAUGGGGGCAACCCUGAUCUAGCCAUGCCGCGUGAGUGAUGAAGGCCUUAGGGUUGUAAAGCUCUUUCAGCUGGGAAGAUAAUGACGGUACCAGCAGAAGAAGCCCCGGCUAACUCCGUG
This 433-nucleotide ribosomal RNA is filed under the name uncultured bacterium. Its description in RNAcentral is "partial 16S ribosomal RNA". It matches the Rfam family "Bacterial small subunit ribosomal RNA", at positions 29 to 507 of the family's 1533-position model. The record is from RNAcentral.